CCGUCUGCCUGUCCGGGUGUGGGCUGCGCUUUCCCACCCUGGCAGGGGCAGCCGCUCGCCUGGGUGAAGAUCUUCAUUCACCUGUGCAGCGGAGCAGAGCACAAGAACCUUGCUGAGGCGUCCCUUAGGGGGACUGAGCAGGACUGAGCAGGAAAAGCAGCACUUUCCCGCAGAGCCGAGGAGGCCCUCCAUUUCUGCAGGCUUCCCCUUGAGCAGGCUGAAGCUGAGGAAGAGAAGCCGUGGCAGAGCUGGGCUGGGAAGUCCUUCAGGGGUGGAGCAAAGCUCCAGGAGAGGAGCGGGGUUGCUACAUCCUGUGGGCGCCCGUUCCCUCCCUCGGGCACCCGGCUGCAGGUGUCACCUGGCUCCAGACAGCCGGGGUUCCUCUCCUCCAGAGCCGGAACACUCACUGAGUCCCGAGCACUCUACCCACUGUGCAUUCAGCACUCUGCUGGCCGACUCACAAGCACUUGCCCUUCCUCUGUCAACACCGCUGGCCUGUCACUCUGAGGCCCCUGGGGGGCGGGACCUCCCGUGUCCGGAAACCUCUGACAUUUUACUGUGGAGUUUCCAGGAAUCUAUCUGUUAUCGAAAUCUGUGACGGGUGAGAGAGGUACUGAGCAAUAUAGCCCGGAAAGUACUGAGCCCCGGGAGUACUGAGCCCAGAGAAAGUACUGAGCCCUGGCAGUACUGUGCCCCAGGAUGACUGAACCCACAGUGUACCGAGCCCCCGCAGGACUGAGUCGGGAGAGUAGUGAGCCCGGGAGAGGACUGAACCCCGAGAGUAGUGAGCCCCAGGAGGACUGAGCGCCGAGAGUAGUCAGUCAGGCCCAGGAGGACUAAGUCCCGAGAGUAGUCAGCCCAGAGAGUACUCAGCCGCAGGAGGACUGAGCCCCGAGAGUACUGAGCCCCAGGAUAACCCAGCACCCGAGUGACCCAGCGAGAAGGAAGGACCGUCGGCCACUCAAGAGCAAGCGCAGAACACGCCCACAACCCCCGUCACGUGACCCCGGGCCCAUCUACCAUUCCCACCCCCAAACCCCCGCAGCCGGAACCGGAUCCGGCCGGUUUCUCGGAGAAAUGCCCGAGGGGGCGGGGCCCGGCGGUGACAUCAGCCGCCAGGGCGGAAGCUGACCUGUGACCAGGAGACUGAGAACGCGUGGCUCCGCCCACGUCGGGGCAUUAACAUAUGGGCACAUGCAGAUGAGCUGUUAUCCCAGCGCCGUUGACAGGUGACGUCGCCAGCGCCCUCCGCGACCCCCGCGACCCCCGAUCCCCCGGGGGUCACCACGUCCGUGGGAGCUGCAGCAGGAGGAUGACCGCGAUGGACCAGGUCGGGACGCUCAUGGCGGCGGGAAGGACGGACGGACACGGGGACGCACGGACGGACGGACACCCGGU
Molecule: long non-coding RNA, 1398 nt
Organism: Peromyscus californicus insignis
Lineage: Eukaryota; Metazoa; Chordata; Mammalia; Rodentia; Cricetidae
Exons: 3
Source: RefSeq, a predicted model, not a curated record